RNAcentral lists this non-coding RNA (824 nucleotides) under Odontotermes sp. B TB-2017. The record is from RNAcentral. Lineage: Eukaryota; Metazoa; Arthropoda; Insecta; Blattodea; Termitidae.
GAGGAGUUUUAUUCUUGCUUAGUUGUUCAGUGUUUGCUUGCUCUAUAUGUAAGUUUUUGCGUGUUUGCUUUAAUCUUUUGUCUCUAGACGGGUUAGAAGAGUCGUGACGAUGAUUUGUUAUUUUCAUUAGUUGUUAUUGGUUAAUUGGGGUCUCCUUUAUCCAGCAAUGCAUUUUAGUUUCGGUUAAAUUUUGUGCCAGCAGCCGCGGUUAUACCUUGGGGGCAUUUGAAUUUGUUUGGUUUGGUAGUUUUAUGUGUAAUUUUUUUAUUUUUAAUGUUUGGUUGUUUUGGGUGAAAUCUUUAUUUUUGUUAGUGUUUGUUGUUUGAUUUGAAGGCUAUGAAACUCUUGUUUGUAGACUAGGAUUAGAUACCCUAUUAUUUUGAGUGUUAAUUUUUUUACCUGAGUAGUAUUAGUUGUGUUCUUGAAACUUAAAGAAUUUGGCGGUAUCCUACUCCGUUCAGAGGAAUCUGUCUCGUUAUCGAUAGUCCGCGUUGGACCUUACUUAGGUUUAAUUUUGGUUUGUAUACCGCCGUUUAUUGAUUAUCUUUUUAGAGUGUCAUGAAUUUUCUGGUUUCUUUAAUUUGAUUUAUUGCAGGUCAAGGUGCAGCUUUUUCUAAGUGUAAUGAUGGAUUACAGUGUUAUGUGUUGUUUGGAUUGUUUGUUUGAAUAUUGGCAUGAAAUUGGAUUUGGUUGUAAUGUUUUGUAGAUUGUUUUCAUGAUAGUUGGUUCUAGGAUAUGUACACAUCGCCCGUCGCUCUCAUUUAAGUUUUUGAUGAGAUAAGUCGUAACAAAGUGGCUGUACCGGAAGGUGUGGCUGGAAUGAU